This 508-nucleotide ribosomal RNA is filed under the name uncultured Glomus. Its description in RNAcentral is "SSU rRNA". It matches the Rfam family "Eukaryotic small subunit ribosomal RNA", at positions 569 to 1081 of the family's 1831-position model. Lineage: Eukaryota; Fungi; Glomeromycota; Glomeromycetes; Glomerales; Glomeraceae. The record is from RNAcentral.
AGCAGCCGCGGUAAUUCCAGCUCCAAUAGCGUAUAUUAAAGUUGUUGCAGUUAAAAAGCUCGUAGUUGAAUUUCGAGAUCAAAUUGUUGGUCGUGCCUUGGUACGCACUGGCAUUAUUGGUUUCUCCCUUCUGACGAACCAUGAUGUCAUUAAUUUGGUGUCUUGGGGAAUCAGGACUGUUACUUUGAAAAAAUUAGAGUGUUUAAAGCAGGCUCACGCUUGAAUACAUUAGCAUGGAAUAAUGAAAUAGGACGUUUGAUUCUAUUUUGUUGGUUUCUAGGAUCGACGUAAUGAUUAAUAGGGAUAGUUGGGGGCAUUAGUAUUCAAUUGUCAGAGGUGAAAUUCUUGGAUUUAUUGAAGACUAACUACUGCGAAAGCAUUUGCCAAGGAUGUUUUCAUUAAUCAAGAACGAAAGUUAGGGGAUCGAAGACGAUCAGAUACCGUCGUAGUCUUAACCAUAAACUAUGCCGACUAGGGAUCGGAUGAUGUAAUUUUUAAUGACUCAUUC